RNAcentral lists this ribosomal RNA (1797 nucleotides) under Durio zibethinus. Its description in RNAcentral is "SSU rRNA". It matches the Rfam family "Eukaryotic small subunit ribosomal RNA". The record is from RNAcentral. Lineage: Eukaryota; Viridiplantae; Streptophyta; Magnoliopsida; Malvales; Malvaceae.
CCUAGUUGAUCCUGCGAGUAGUUAUAUGCUUGUCUCAAAGAUUAAGCCAUGCAUGUGUAAGUAUCAACAAAUUAAGAUGGUGAAACUAUGAAUGGCUCAUUAAAUUAGUUAUAGUUUGUUUGAUGGUAUCUAUUACUUGGAUAACCAUAAUAAUUCUAAAGCUAAUAUGUGAAACAAACCCCAACUUUUGGAAGGGAUACAUUUAUUAGAUAAAAAGUCAAUGUGGGCUUUACCCAUUGCUCUAAUUAUUCAUGAUAACUCGAUGGAUCGCAUGACCUUUGAACUGGUAAUGCAUCAUUCAAAUUUUUGCCCUAUCAACUUUUGAUGGGAGGAUAGUGGCCUAUUAUAAUGGUAUGGAUGAUGGAGAAUUAGGGUUUGAUUAUAAAGAAAGAGCCUAAGAAAUGGCUAUCACAUCUAAGGAAGCCAUUAGGAGCGUAAAUUACCCAAUCCUGACAUGAUAAGGUAGUGACAAUAAAUAAAAUACCGGGCUCUAUGAGUUUGGUAAUUGGAAUGAAUACAAUCUAAAUCCCUUAGCAAGGAUCCAUUUAAGGGCAAGUCUGGCACUAGCAACCAUGGUAAUUCCAACUUUAAUAGCAUAUAUUUAAGUUGUUAUAGUUAAAAACCUUGUAGUUGGAACUACGGUUGGGUUAUCCAAUUUACCUAACGGUGAGCACUAGUCUACUCAUCUCUACUAUCAACAACGUGCUCUUUGCCUUAACUAGCCAGGUCGUUCCUCUGACACUAUUAUUUUGAAGAAAUUAGAGUGCUCAAAGUAGGCCUACACUUGUAUACAUUAUCAUGGGAUAACAUCAUACAAUUUUGGUCUUAUUGUAUUGGCAUUCGGGAUAAGAGUAAUGAUUAAUAGGGGCAGUUGGAGGCAUUCAUAUUACAUAGUCAAAGGUAAAAUUCUUAGAUUUAUGAAUGAUGAACAAUUGCGAAAGCAUUUGCCAAGGAUGUUUACAUUAAUCAAGAAUAAAAGUUGGGGGCUCAAAGAUGAUCAAAUACUAUCCUAGUCUCAACCAUAAAUGAUGCUGACCAAGGAUUGACGGAUGUUACUUUUAGGACUCCAUUGGCUCUUUAUUAGAAUUCAAAGUCUUUGGGUUCCAAAGGGGUAGGGUCGCAAGGUUGAAACUUAAAAGAAUUGAUGGAAGGGCACAACUAGGAGUGAAGCCUAUGGCUUAAAUUGACACAACAUGAGAAAACUUACUAGGUCUGGACAUAGUAAGGAUUGGCAGACUGAGACCUUUUUCUUGAUUCUAUUGGUGGUGGUGCAUGGCUAUUCUUAGUUGGUGGAGCAAUUUGUCUAGAUAAUUUUGUUAACUAAUGAAACCUCAGCUUGCUAACUAGCUAUGCGAAGGUGAUACUUCAUGGCUAGCUUUUUAAAGAGAUUAUGGCUACUUAAGCUAAGGAAGUUUGAGGCAAUAAUAGGUCUGUUAUGACCUUAGAUGUUCUGGGCUACAUGUACACUGCUCUAAUGUAUUCAAGGAGUCCAUAGCCUUGGCCGAUAGGCUGGGGUAAUCUUUCAAAUUUCAUUAUAAUAGGGAUCGAUCAUUGCAACUGUUAGUCUUCAACGAGGAAUUCCUAGUAUGCACAAGUCAUCAUCAGCUUGUACUGACUACAUCCUUGCCCUUUGUACACACUGCUCAUCACUCCAACCAAUUGAAUAGUCUGGUGAAGUGUUCGAAUCAUGGUAACAUGGAUAGUUCGCUGCCUAUGACAUUGCAAGAAGUCCACUGAACCUUAUAUUUAGAGGAAAGAGAAGUUGUAAUAAAGUUUCUAUAUAUGAAAGGAUCAUUG